CACGUAGGGCGCGAGCGUUGUCCGGAAUCAUUGGGCGUAAAGCGCACGUAGGCGGCCUGAUAAGUCGGAUGUGAAAUCCCUCGGCUCAACCAAGGAAGUGCAUCCGAAACUGCUGAGCUUGAGUACUUAAGAGGAUCGCGGAAUUCCCGGUGUAGAGGUGAAAUUCGUAGAUAUCGGGAGGAACACCAGUGGCGAAGGCGGCGAUCUGGGAAGAUACUGACGCUGAGGUGCGAAAGCGUGGGGAGCAAACAGG
Molecule: ribosomal RNA, 253 nt
Filed under: uncultured bacterium
Lineage: Bacteria
Description: partial 16S ribosomal RNA
Rfam family: Bacterial small subunit ribosomal RNA
Source: RNAcentral